RNAcentral lists this ribosomal RNA (789 nucleotides) under uncultured bacterium. Its description in RNAcentral is "bacterial SSU rRNA". It matches the Rfam family "Bacterial small subunit ribosomal RNA", at positions 56 to 822 of the family's 1533-position model. The record is from RNAcentral.
UGCAAGUCGAGCGGAAUUCUUUUGUAGCAAUACAAAAGUAGUUCAGCGGCGCNNNUUNGUGCGUAACACGUGGGCAAUCUGCCGAGAUGUGGGGGAUAGCUCGCCGAAAGGCGAAUUAAUACCGCAUGUGACCAAGGUUGACAUCAACCUGACGUCAAAGCCGGGGCAACCUGGCGCAUCUUGAGGAGCCCGCGGCCUAUCAGCUAGUUGGCGAGGUAAUGGCUCACCAAGGCAUUGACGGGUAGCUGGUCUAAGAGGACGACCAGUCACACUGGAACUGAGACACGGUCCAGACACCUACGGGUGGCAGCAGUCGAGAAUUUUUCUCAAUGGGGGAAACCCUGAAGGAGCGACGCCGCGUGGAGGAUGAAGGUCUUCGGAUCGUAAACUCCUGUCAUUUGAGAACAAGGGGUUCGUGAGUCACUGCACGGGCCUUGAUAGUAUCAGAAGAGGAAGAGACGGCUAACUCUGUGCCAGCAGCCGCGGUAAUACAGAGGUCUCAAGCGUUGUUCGGAUUCAUUGGGCGUAAAGGGUGCGUAGGCGGCGGCGUUAGUCGGGUGUGAAAUCCCAGGGCUCAACCCUGGAACUGCAUUCGAUACUGCGUCGCUUCGAGGACUGGAGAGGAGACUGGAAUUCACGGUGUAGCAGUGAAAUGCGUANAUAUCGUGAGGAAGACCAGUGGCGAANGCGAGUCUCUGGACAGUUCCUGACGCUGAAGCACGAAGGCCAGGGGAGCAAACGGGAUUAGAUACCCCGGUAGUCCUGGCAGUAAACGGUGCGCGUUUGGUA